RNAcentral lists this ribosomal RNA (292 nucleotides) under uncultured bacterium. Its description in RNAcentral is "partial 16S ribosomal RNA". It matches the Rfam family "Bacterial small subunit ribosomal RNA", at positions 505 to 796 of the family's 1533-position model. The record is from RNAcentral.
GUGCCAGCAGCCGCGGUAAGACAGAGGUCCCGAGCGUUAGGCGGAAUCACUGGGCUUAAAGCGUGUGUAGGCGGAUUUGUAAGUACCUUGUGAAAUCCCACGGCUCAACCGUGGAACUGCUUGGUAUACUGCUUAUCUUGGGCCACUUAGGGGUUACCGGAACAAACGGUGGAGCGGUGAAAUGCGUAGAUAUCGUUUGGAACGCCAAUGGUGAAAACAGGUAACUGGGAGUGUGCCGACGCUGAGACACGAAAGCUAGGGGAGCGAACGGGAUUAGAUACCCCCGUAGUCC